This is a long non-coding RNA of Heterocephalus glaber (naked mole-rat), 510 nucleotides long. The record is from Ensembl. Lineage: Eukaryota; Metazoa; Chordata; Mammalia; Rodentia; Bathyergidae.
AAGGGAGCCCUCUGCUCCACUGUCCCUCACUGUUCCCUGAGUACCAUGUACACCCCUCCCCCCUCCAUGCCCUUGCCCAUCUGAUGUGUUCUCUCCCGUCUGCCUGGCUCCAAUCUUGCACCUGAGGGCCACCAAUCGCUGACGCCCUUUGGACACCUUGAAACACUUCUUGUAUUGUCUCGGUGGGGGGAUUGCAGACUUCAAGUCACAUUACAAAGCUUCAGUGACAAAAAUAAAAUGAUACUGGCACAAAAACAGUCAUGUGCAUUAAUGAGAUGGAACAGAAGAUGCAGAAACAACCCCAGGCACACUUAGCCAUCGAAUCCCUGACAAAGCGGCCAAAAAUACACUGGAGGAAAGACAGCCUCUCCAACAAACGGUGCCAGCAACCCAAGUCAUCACUAUAUAAACCUACAUUCCUGACCUUGCAACCAGCUUGGACACUGGCCUGGUGGGAACUAGGGCAACACCUUUCUGGGACAAGAGGAAGGUUGAGGCUAGAGAUACAGA